UUAAUUGAAGAGUUUGAUCAUGGCUCAGAUUGAACGCUGGCGGCAGGCCUAACACAUGCAAGUCGAGCGGCAGCACAGAGGAACUUGUUCCUUGGGUGGCGAGCGGCGGACGGGUGAGUAAUGCCUGGGAAAUUGCCCGGUAGAGGGGGAUAACCAUUGGAAACGAUGGCUAAUACCGCAUAACCUCGCAAGAGCAAAGCAGGGGACCUUCGGGCCUUGUGCUACCGGAUAUGCCCAGGUGGGAUUAGCUAGUUGGUGAGGUAAGGGCUCACCAAGGCGACGAUCCCUAGCUGG
Molecule: ribosomal RNA, 294 nt
Filed under: Vibrio cholerae
Lineage: Bacteria; Pseudomonadati; Pseudomonadota; Gammaproteobacteria; Vibrionales; Vibrionaceae
Description: partial 16S ribosomal RNA
Rfam family: Bacterial small subunit ribosomal RNA
Source: RNAcentral